This 253-nucleotide ribosomal RNA is filed under the name uncultured bacterium. Its description in RNAcentral is "partial 16S ribosomal RNA". It matches the Rfam family "Bacterial small subunit ribosomal RNA", at positions 524 to 776 of the family's 1533-position model. The record is from RNAcentral.
UACGUAGGGUCCGAGCGUUGUCCGGAAUUAUUGGGCGUAAAGGGCUCGUAGGCGGUUCGUCACGUCGGGAGUGAAAACUCGGAGCUUAACUCCGAGCCUGCUUCCGAUACGGGCAGACUAGAGGUAGGCAGGGGAGAGCGGAACUCCUGGUGUAGCGGUGGAAUGCGCAGAUAUCAGGAAGAACACCGGUGGCGAAGGCGGGUCUCUGGGCAGUAACUGACGCUGAGGAGCGAAAGCGUGGGGAGCGAACAGG